AGAGUUUGAUUAUGGCCCAGGACGAACGCUGGCGGCGUGCCUAACACAUGCAAGUCGAACGGAGUCAGAAAGCUUGCUUUUGACUUAGUGGCGGACGGGUGAGUAACGCGUGAGUAACCUGCCUCUGAGAGGGGAAUAACGUUCUGAAAAGAACGCUAAUACCGCAUAACGUAUCGAAGCCGCAUGACUUUGAUACCAAAGAUUUUAUCGCUCGGAGAUGGACUCGCGUCCGAUUAGUUAGUUGGUGAGGUAACGGCUCACCAAGACCGCGAUCGGUAGCCGGACUGAGAGGUUGAUCGGCCACAUUGGGACUGAGACACGGCCCAGACUCCUACGGGAGGCAGCAGUGGGGGAUAUUGCGCAAUGGGGGCAAACCCCUGACGCAGCAACGCCGCGUGAAGGAUGAAGGUUUUCGGAUUGUAAACUUCUUUUAUCAGGGACGAAGCUUGACGGUACCUGAUGAAUAAGCUCCGGCUAACUACGUGCCAGCCGCCGC
RNAcentral lists this ribosomal RNA (496 nucleotides) under uncultured bacterium. RNAcentral describes it as "bacterial SSU rRNA". It matches the Rfam family "Bacterial small subunit ribosomal RNA", at positions 8 to 518 of the family's 1533-position model. The record is from RNAcentral.